This 518-nucleotide ribosomal RNA is filed under the name Lacticaseibacillus casei. Its description in RNAcentral is "bacterial SSU rRNA". It matches the Rfam family "Bacterial small subunit ribosomal RNA", at positions 58 to 549 of the family's 1533-position model. The record is from RNAcentral. Lineage: Bacteria; Bacillati; Bacillota; Bacilli; Lactobacillales; Lactobacillaceae.
CGAGUUCUCGUUGAUGAUCGGUGCUUGCACCGAGAUUCAACAUGGAACGAGUGGCGGACGGGUGAGUAACACGUGGGUAACCUGCCCUUAAGUGGGGGAUAACAUUUGGAAACAGAUGCUAAUACCGCAUAGAUCCAAGAACCGCAUGGUUCUUGGCUGAAAGAUGGCGUAAGCUAUCGCUUUUGGAUGGACCCGCGGCGUAUUAGCUAGUUGGUGAGGUAAUGGCUCACCAAGGCGAUGAUACGUAGCCGAACUGAGAGGUUGAUCGGCCACAUUGGGACUGAGACACGGCCCAAACUCCUACGGGAGGCAGCAGUAGGGAAUCUUCCACAAUGGACGCAAGUCUGAUGGAGCAACGCCGCGUGAGUGAAGAAGGCUUUCGGGUCGUAAAACUCUGUUGUUGGAGAAGAAUGGUCGGCAGAGUAACUGUUGUCGGCGUGACGGUAUCCAACCAGAAAGCCACGGCUAACUACGUGCCAGCAGCCGCGGUAAUACGUAGGUGGCAAGCGUUAUCCGGA